This 1728-nucleotide ribosomal RNA is filed under the name Lepturacanthus savala (Savalani hairtail). RNAcentral's name for it is "16S ribosomal RNA". The stretch from base 95 to 1648 matches the Rfam family "Bacterial large subunit ribosomal RNA". The record is from RNAcentral. Lineage: Eukaryota; Metazoa; Chordata; Actinopteri; Scombriformes; Trichiuridae.
AGCCAACCAACUAGCCUUACCUUAAAAACAACAACACAACAUUAACUAACCCCUAAAAACACAAACUCUUCAAACAAACCAUUUUUCCCCCUGAGUAUGGGCGACAGAAAAGGAACCACCAAAGCAAUAGAAAAAGUACCGCAAGGGAAAGUUGAAAAAGAAAUGAAACAAACCAGUUUUAGCUCAAAAAAGCAGGGAUAUUCCCCCGUACCUUUUGCAUCAUGAUUUAGCCAGCAUUCCUCAAGCAAAAAGUACUUUAGUUUGAAACCCCGAAACUACGGUGAGCUACUUCAAGCCAGCCUAUCCAUAGGGCCAACCCGUCUCUGUUGCAAAAGAGUGGGAAGAGCUUCAAGUAGAGGUGACAAAUCUACCGGACCUAGUUAUAGCUGGUUGCCUGAAAAAUGAAUUUAAGUUCAGCCUUUAUGCUUCUCCCACCCCCAAAACCCCCCGCAUACAAUAUUUUAACCCUGGCACCCCUGCCAACACAGAACCCACAACAGAAGCCUAAAGAGUUAGUCAAAGGGGGUACAGCUCCUUUGAAACAAGACACAACUUUUCCAGGCGGAUAAAGAUCAUAUACACUUAGGGCCUAGCCAAUGUGGGCUUAAAAGCAGCCACCCUAUAAUUAACGCGUUAUAGCCAAAGCAAAACACCACCCUUAAAUUUCGAUACCCCGAUCUAACUCCCCUCGACCCCCAACCCAUCAGGCCACUCCAUGCCCCCAUGGAAGUGACCAUGCUAAUAUGAGUAAUAAGAGAGCACCGCCUCUCUCCCCGCACACACAUAACUCGAAAUGAACCCCCACCGAAACUCAACGGCCCCAAACAAAGAGGGGACUUGGGCACCAAACAGCAACCUAGAAAACUCCCAAACAUUUAACCCGUUAACCCCACACUGGUGUGCCCCUAGGGAAAGACUAAAAAAAGAAGAAGGAACUCGGCAAACAACAAUGAGCCUCGCCUGUUUACCAAAAACAUCGCCUCUUGCCAGAACAAAAUAAGAGGUCCCGUCUGCCCCGUGACUAUAUGUUUAACGGCCGCGGUAUCUUAACCGUGCGAAGGUAGCGUAAUCAUUUGUCUUUUAAUUGAGGACCCGUAUGAAUGACAAAACGAGGGCUCAACUGUCUCCUUCUUUUAGUCAAUGAAAUUGAUUUCCCCGUGCAGAAGCGGGGAUAAGCACAUAAGACGAGAAGACCCUAUGAAGCUUUAGACACCCGGACAUCUCCUGUUAAAACCCCCCAAUUAAAGGACUAAAACCUAUCGACCCAUGUCCCCGUCUUAGGUUGGGGCGACCCUGGGGAACAAAAAUCCCCCACGUGGAAUAGUAGCCUAGCUACCCACAACCAAGAGCCACAGCUCUAAAAACCAGAAUCUCUGACCAUAAAUGACCCGGCAAUGCCGAUCAACGAACCAAGUUACUCUAGGGAUAACAGCGCAAUCCCCUUUUUAGAGGCCGCAUCAACAAGGGGGUUUACGACCUCGAUGUUGGAUCAGGACAUCCUAAUGGUGCAGCCGCUAUUAAGGGUUCGUUUGUUCAACGAUUAAAGUCCUACGUGAUCUGAGUUCAGACCGGAGCAAUCCAGGUCAGUUUCUAUCUAUGCUCUGUUCUUUUCUAGUACGAGAGGACCGAAAAGAAGAGGCCCCUACCAAAAGCACGCCUCCCCCCCAACCAAGGAAAACAACUAAAAAGACAAGGGGACAUACCACUAUACUAAAGAUAAUAGUACAU